RNAcentral lists this ribosomal RNA (727 nucleotides) under uncultured bacterium. RNAcentral describes it as "bacterial SSU rRNA". It matches the Rfam family "Bacterial small subunit ribosomal RNA", at positions 111 to 823 of the family's 1533-position model. The record is from RNAcentral.
UAACACGUGAGUGACCUGCCUUUUAGACUGGAACAACUUACCGAAAGGUGAGCUAAUGCCGGAUGAGUUAUAUAAGUGCAUGUUUAUAUAGGAAAAGUUGGGGAGACCUGACGCUGAAAGAUGGACUCGCGUCCCAUUAGCUAGUUGGUAGGGUAAUGGCCUACCAAGGCGACGAUGGGUAGCCGGCCUGAGAGGGUGGCCGGCCACACUGGGACUGAGACACGGCCCAGACUCCUACGGGAGGCAGCAGUGGGGAAUUUUGCGCAAUGCUCGUAAGAGUGACGCAGCGACGCCGCGUGAAUGACGAAGGCCUUCGGGUCGUAAAGUCCUUUCGACAGGGAAGAAAAUGCCUAUAAGUAACUGUGUAUGUAUUGACGGUACCUGUAUAAGCAGCCCCGGCUAACUCCGUGCCAGCAGCCGCGGUAAUACGGAGGGGGCGAGCGUUGUUCGGAGUGACUGGGCGUAAAGAGCACGUAGGCGGUGUUGUAAGUCAUUAGUCAAAGACUAGAGCUCAACUUUAGUAAGGCUAGUGAUACUAUAAUACUAGAGUAUCANAGAGGAUUGCAGAAUUCCUGGUGUAGCGGUGAAAUGCGUAGAUAUCAGGAGGAAUACCGUUAGCGAAGGCGGNAAUCUGGCUGGAAACUGACGCUGAGGUGCGAAAGCGUGNGUAGCAAACAGGAUUAGAUACCCUGNUANUCCACGCUGUAAACGAUGGGAUGCUAGGUGU